CGGGAUCCGUCCCGUGAAGGAAUGUGGCGUUUUUCAGACGCUGAACCUGAGG
RNAcentral lists this non-coding RNA (52 nucleotides) under unclassified sequences. RNAcentral describes it as "eL15-Euryarchaeota ribosomal protein leader". It matches the Rfam family "eL15-Euryarchaeota ribosomal protein leader". The record is from RNAcentral.